CACUCACCGCCCUCCAGAUGAAACAAGGCGUCGGUAAAAUGUCGUAGUAAACAAAUAUGACAGUUGUUGUAGUUUUUGAGUUAUAAAAUUGUUAUUCAUUAUUUUAACAAUUUUACUCUUAUGAAAAUGGAGAAAGAGGCCACGCCGUUAGUUUGUAAGGAAGUCCUAGAUAUUAGUAAUAUCCUUUGGGGACCAUCAGUAAAGAUAGAUGUAUUCAGGAGAUGGGCACAAGGUUUCCAUUUCAGUAAUGAAGAACCCACAGCACUUUUACAGUGUGAAGGAGGACCCUGUGCAGUCCUUGCCCCAGUUCAAGCCUUUAUAGUCAAAACUCUACUAGAGUCUGAUUCAAUUGCUGAGUGGAGGCAGGCAGGUUCUGAUAGCUGUAGCAAACUGCUGGUAAAGGCAGUUUGCGACAUUUUAAGUCAAGUGAAAGAAGAACCAGAUUGCAGAUAUCAAUUAGUUGAGCUUCAAGUUGUCAAGGAAAGUUCUGAUCCAGACACAAUCGGCUCCCAACCAAACACCACUACUUCAAGUUCUAGCUUGAUUAAUGGACUAUCAAAUGAAGUUAGCAAGGAUGAUAUUCAGCUCAUUGAAUCGUCAAUCAGCUUAAGACAAAACCUGUCACCUGAUGAGUUCCACUCUCAAUUGAAAGUUUUAACUGUAGACAGUAUUGAAGCUGUGGAACACUUUUACAAUGAAAGAAUAAGUAUGCUACAAAACACUUACGGAGUAUUACUUUUAUUGUAUGCAGUUAUUUGUUCAAAGGGCAUUGAUCAAAUUCAUGAAGAAAUGUCUGAUCCAAAUGAAUCUCUUAUUGAUGUCGUUCAUGGCUAUGGGAACCAGUCUCUCAUCAACUUAAUGUUAACUGGCCGAGCAGUUGGGCAUGUAUGGGAUCAUGAGCAGGAUGUUGGAGGCCUUAAGUUGCGAGGCUUAAUCAAGCAAAAUGAUGUAGGCUUUUUAGCUUUGUUAGAACACUUGCGCUAUUGUGAAGUUGGGUCCUUUUUCAAGAAUCCCAAACAUCCAGUUUGGGUCCUGGGCAGCGAAACACAUUUAACUGUCCUAUUUUCUUGGGAGAAGAGCUUAGUUAGUCCGGAAACAGCUGGUGAAGUAGCUCGCCGCGUUUUCAAGCGUUAUGACCCUGAUGGAAAUAAUUUCAUUCAAUCUUCAUCCCUUCAAGAUGUUUUACGUGACUUGGAUUUAGUCUCUGAAACAGAAUAUGUUGACAUUAUGCGUCGGAAAUUAGAUCCAGAGGGCCUAGGAAUUAUCUUGUUGUUGGCAUUUAUGGAUGAAUUCUAUGCCGAUGAGAGGAAGACCACUCCUGAUGUCUUCACUCUGUUUCAUUACAAUGGUCUACCUCAUUCAUGCCCAGAUGGUCGAGUUGUGUACCAAGAAGGCUCUGCUAUCCUUCUUGAGACUGAUGUACAAUCAAUAUUGGAAAGCAAUCCUAUACAGACUGUUCUACAAACUAAAUGGCGAAAUAUUGAAGUCAAUUGGAAAUCAGGUGUCUCUCCAUCAUUGAAUUAGUAAAUUGCCUCACCUCAUUAUGGUUUUCUCUUGGCCAAAGGCUGCAUGAAACAAAAUAUGCAAAUGAGAAGACAACCGUGUGUCAGUGCACACAAGAAUGAACAAGUAAAUGAAGGGACAACUUAAACACAGGGUGACAUUGACACGUCUUUUUAUGACUCCAUUGUGGCAAGACCACCAAUUGAACUUCAGCAAUUCUAAAGUUUCUAUAAUUGGUGCCUUUUUCAGAUAAAUGUAUGUCUAAUUUCUAAAUGAUUAGGUAGAAAUGUUGUACGUUUACUUAGGAUGGAUUUUCACUGGAAACCAUGAUUUUCUCCAUAGCAAAGAACCACAGUGAUAAUGCUAAUGCAAUGGUAACAUUUUGAAUAAAUUGAAAUAUUGAUUGAAUAGAAAUCAUAUGAAGAGGCUGUUUCUUUAUGAACAAUUUGGUUGUCUGCUUAAAUUUACUGUGGAAAUUUGUUUGAAGUCUUCAGUACUUAAAGUAGUACCUCUAGGAGUGAAAUCACCCCAAGCUGUGUGCAUGGCUAUCUUUAUUAUGUUUAUUAGAUUCAACCCUGUUCCUGCUCUUUAAAAUUUAUCUUAGAAAUUUCCAGCUCAGCUGUAAAUUUUUAGGGGAUCAUUUGUGACAAGUUAACAGUGUUUGGCUAGAUGUUUUAAUUUUGUUUUCUGGUCAGGAAAAGAUCUCUGAAAUGAAUUGUUUUUUUGUUUGUUUUUUAUUGUCACUUUGGUUGGCUGUUAGUACAUAGUUCUCUUCUGUUUUUUUUUCUGGUGCAUGUGGAAUAUUAAGAAAACUGUACAUUCAUGUAUUUGUCAAUCUUGUGUCACAAUAAUUUCAUCAUACGUCUUUUUUUUCUUGCUCAUGCAGUCAAAUUGUACUAACUUAUUGUUUACUUAUUCAAGUGAAUUUUUAUAGUAUAUUUUUAAAAUAAAGAACCAAAUAUUCUGCCUGAA
Molecule: unclassified non-coding RNA, 2475 nt
Filed under: Thrips palmi
Lineage: Eukaryota; Metazoa; Arthropoda; Insecta; Thysanoptera; Thripidae
Description: ubiquitin carboxyl-terminal hydrolase MINDY-3 homolog, transcript variant X1
Source: RNAcentral